Molecule: ribosomal RNA, 534 nt
Filed under: Raffaelea quercina
Lineage: Eukaryota; Fungi; Ascomycota; Sordariomycetes; Ophiostomatales; Ophiostomataceae
Description: partial large subunit ribosomal RNA
Rfam family: Eukaryotic large subunit ribosomal RNA
Source: RNAcentral
AAACCAACAGGGAUUGCCCCAGUAACGGCGAGUGAAGCGGCAACAGCUCAAAUUUGAAAUCUGGCCCCCCCCCGCGGGGGGCCCGAGUUGUACUUUGGAGAGGACGCUUUGGGCGCGGCGCCGGCCGAGUGCCCUGGAACGGGCCGCCGCAGAGGGUGAGAGCCCCGUACGGCCGGACGCCCAGCCCGUGCAAAGCUCCUUCGACGAGUCGAGUAGUUUGGGAAUGCUGCUCAAAACGGGAGGUAAAUUUCUUCUAAAGCUAAAUACCGGCCAGAGACCGAUAGCGCACAAGUAGAGUGAUCGAAAGAUGAAAAGCACUUUGAAAAGAGGGUUAAACAGCACGUGAAAUUGUUGAAAGGGAAGCGCCUGGGGCCAGACGUGCGCCCCGCGGACCACCCGGCGCCUCGCGCGCCGGGGCACGCCGCGGGUGCGCAGGCCAGCAUCGGCUCCCCGCCGGGGGGACAAGGGCCGCGGGAACGUAGCUCCUCCGGGAGCGUUACAGCCCGCGGCGCCAUGCCCUCGGGGGGGCCGAGG